UGGCUCAGAACGAACGCUGGCGGCGCGCUUAAUACAUGCAAGUCGAGCGAGAACCAGGGCUUCGGCUCUGGGGACAGCGGCGAACGGGUGGGUAACACGUGGGUAAUCAACCCCCGACACCGGGAUAGCCCAGGGAAACUUGGAUUAAUACCGGAUGCCCCAUCUGGCUUUCGAGCCGGCUGGAAAAGGGUAGCUUCGGCCUCUGGUCGGGGACGAGCCCGCGGCGGAUUAGCUUGUUGGUGAGGUAACGGCUCACCAAGGCGGGGAUCCGUAGCUGGUCUGAGAGGACGAUCAGCCACACUGGGACUGAGACACGGCCCAGAAUCCUACGGGAGGCA
RNAcentral lists this ribosomal RNA (338 nucleotides) under uncultured bacterium. RNAcentral describes it as "bacterial SSU rRNA". It matches the Rfam family "Bacterial small subunit ribosomal RNA", at positions 20 to 350 of the family's 1533-position model. The record is from RNAcentral.